This is a long non-coding RNA of Xenia sp. Carnegie-2017, 944 nucleotides long. RefSeq lists it as uncharacterized. NCBI's taxonomy places the organism in Eukaryota, Metazoa, Cnidaria, Anthozoa, Malacalcyonacea, Xeniidae. The transcript has 5 exons. The record is from RefSeq and is a predicted model, not a curated record.
GUUUUACCAGCAGAAAUUUACAUCCAAAAUCCAUGACGAGCAAGUGGAUAUUUGUUGUGAUCUUUUGUGUCCUAACAAUUUCUACGAACAUCGCUGACAGCAUAUGCUGCGAUAGAGUUGAGGAAUUGGUGCAAUAAAAGAAAAAGGCCUUUGCAACUCUAUGUGCAUCAGGAAACAAUCUCCCUCGGGGUUGCUGUGACGAUAUUUAGAAGGAAGUAAAGUUGUUUGAGGAUGCAUACCAGUUGUUAUGUGUUAAUUCAUCAAACAUCCUGGGGAACUCGAGUAUUCUAAAGAAUAAGCCGCAAUGGAUAACUCAGCUUCAAAAGUGGCUGCCAUCGAACUUAAGAGGUCAUAAGACGGUGCUCUGUUACAGAGCAACCGUGAAUGGUUGGAGGUCAAACAAAUUCCACAGUCGUUGUGACUCGAAGGGACCAACACUAGUCAUUAUCAAAAAAGGAUCGUAUGUGUUUGGGGGAUUUGCAUCGCAAUCUUGGGGAGGAAGUGGUCGUUACAUAAGAGCACCAAAUUCCUUUAUUUUCUCGUUCAAAAACAAGGAUGGUCUAAAACCUUUCAAAUCCACGAUCUAUAGAUAUCAGCAAUACGCAAUGUACACAAAUACAUACUAUGGACCAACAUUUGGAGGUGGUCAUGACAUUUAUAUCGCCAACAAUGCUGGGUCCUAUUCCAAUUCAUACACAAACUUUGGUUACGUAUACAAGCUCCCAUCUGGCUAUUCCUACGGAAGCACAAAAAGAAAAGAAGUUAUUGGCUGGCUCGUACAGGUUUUCUCCAAACGAAGUAGAAGUUUUUUAUUUUUCUACACCAAUCCUGCAGGACUCAAGUAUUAUAAAGAAUAAGAAAUGGGUAGAAAAGCUUGAAGAAUGGUUGCCGUCGAAUUUACACGGCAAAUUGACUGAGCGCUGUUACAAAGCAUCCGUAAAUGG